UUAAUACCCCCUCCGUCCGAAAAUACUUGUCAUCAAAAUGAAUAAAAAUGGAUGUAUAUAGAACUAACAUAUGUCUAGAUACAUCCCCUUUUAUCAAUUUUAAUGAUAAGUAUUUCCGGACGGAGGGAGUAGCAA
Non-coding RNA from Triticum aestivum (bread wheat), 135 nucleotides. NCBI's taxonomy places the organism in Eukaryota, Viridiplantae, Streptophyta, Magnoliopsida, Poales, Poaceae. The record is from Rfam.